Molecule: transfer RNA, 80 nt
Filed under: Felis catus (domestic cat)
Lineage: Eukaryota; Metazoa; Chordata; Mammalia; Carnivora; Felidae
Also listed under: 4 other names
Rfam family: tRNA
About the family: Transfer RNA (tRNA) molecules are approximately 80 nucleotides in length. Their secondary structure includes four short double-helical elements and three loops (D, anti-codon, and T loops).
Source: Rfam by way of RNAcentral
GCCUGGGUGGCUCAGUCGGUUAAGCAUCUGACUUCAGUUCAUGAUCUCAUAAUUCGUGGGUUCUAGCCCCACAUCAGGCU